CUCGAGUGGCGAACGGGUGAGUAACACGUGGGUGAUCUGCCCUGCACUUUGGGAUAAGCCUGGGAAACUGGGUCUAAUACCGAAUAGGACCGCAUGCUUCAUGGUGUGUGGUGGAAAGCUUUGCGGUGUGGGAUGGGCCCGCGGCCUAUCAGCUUGUUGGUGGGGUAAUGGCCUACCAAGGCGACGACGGGUAGCCGGCCUGAGAGGGUGUCCGGCCACACUGGGACUGAGAUACGGCCCAG
Molecule: ribosomal RNA, 242 nt
Filed under: uncultured bacterium
Lineage: Bacteria
Description: partial 16S ribosomal RNA
Rfam family: Bacterial small subunit ribosomal RNA
Source: RNAcentral